RNAcentral lists this ribosomal RNA (292 nucleotides) under uncultured bacterium. RNAcentral's name for it is "partial 16S ribosomal RNA". It matches the Rfam family "Bacterial small subunit ribosomal RNA", at positions 505 to 796 of the family's 1533-position model. The record is from RNAcentral.
GUGUCAGCCGCCGCGGUAAUACGGAGGGUGCAAGCGUUAUCCGGAUUUAUUGGGUUUAAAGGGUGCGUAGGCGGUAUUAUAAGUCAGUGGUGAAAUGUUGCAGCUUAACUGUAAAAUUGCCAUUGAAACUGCAGUACUUGAGUUAUCUUGAAGUAGGCGGAAUGUGUAGUGUAGCGGUGAAAUGCUUAGAUAUUACACAGAACACCGAUUGCGAAGGCAGCUUACUAAGGGUAUACUGACGCUGAGGCACGAAAGCGUGGGGAUCGAACAGGAUUAGAAACCCCGGUAGUCC